RNAcentral lists this transfer RNA (88 nucleotides) under Candidatus Thioglobus sp. Its description in RNAcentral is "tRNA-Ser". It matches the Rfam family "tRNA". From Rfam's summary of the family: Transfer RNA (tRNA) molecules are approximately 80 nucleotides in length. Lineage: Bacteria; Pseudomonadati; Pseudomonadota; Gammaproteobacteria; Pseudothioglobaceae (SeqCode). The record is from RNAcentral.
GGAGAGAUGUCAGAGCGGUUUAUUUUGCUCGCUUGGAAAGCGGGUGUACCUUUUGGUACCGAGGGUUCAAAUCCCUCUCUCUCCACCA